CCCAACCCUGUAAGGCAGAACGGCUGCCCAGCUCGGAUGACGCCACACUAACGUAGCCUCCAGACCGCCCAGUGUGGGUGUGUCCAAGCUCACGUCGCCCGGCGUGGCCCCCCCGCUCCCCAAUGACGUAACUGCCCUGCAGCUUCUAGUAGCUUUUCGCAGCGUCUCCGACCGCCGGGCGCGGUGGCGCGUGCCUGUAGUCCCAGCUACUCGGGAGGCUGAGGUGGGAGGAUCGCUUGAGCCCAGGAGUUCUGGGCUGUAGUGCGCUAUGCCGAUCGGGUGUCCGCACUAAGUUCGGCAUCAAUAUGGUGACCUCCCGGGAGCGGGGGACCACCAGGUUGCCUAAGGAGGGGUGAACCGGCCCAGGUCGGAAACGGAGCAGGUCAAAACUCCCGUGCUGAUCAGUAGUGGGAUCGCGCCUGUGAAUAGCCACUGCACUCCAGCCUGAGCAACAUAGCGAGACCCCGUCUCUUUUGCCCCCCUCCCUCAUUAAGGGUACCUUUCGCGAAAGCUCACCAGUUGACGGGAUGCUUGGGGAUUUGCAACCGCCUCAUCGCUGCCCCCUACCGGCGCAUAUUCAAAACGUCUCUGCGAAAAGCUGUUAUUACCUUCGGAGCCAACAGGGGCUGCUCGUUUACCCACAGACAGUCGGAAAAAAAUGGCCGCCGGAUCACAGAGAGCAAAAAGUACGUUCUCUUAAAGAAUUUCCAAGUUCUUCCCGCGGCCGUUCAGGAUGCUGCUUGCAGUUACCAACAUUAUUCCCCUGCACUGAGCUGACCUGAGCUUCCCUGCCUACCUCCUGUCACGGAUGUCACCUUCUUUCACCCCUGUCCUGUCAAGGUUUUUGCUUUAGAAUGCUAUAGACCAAAGACGGGCUAAUCAACAGUCUUACACACAAAUCCUUUCGUUCUACUUGGCUACAGGCAGGGCUAAUCUUCCGAAGAGGAAUCCCACUACUGCCUCCUUAUAAGGGAAAAACUCCUCUCAGAGGAACCCAGAACGCCCUGUGAUGACAGAGGUGAGGGGCCAGCGUGGCAGAAUGCACCACCCUGUCUCCUCGCUUGCUUCUCUCUCCGUCGGAUUGCCAAAAAGGGAACGGCACCUAGACGCCGAAAAGUAACUGAAGCAAAGGGAGUUUAAAGAACGCGCCCAGCCGCCUGGGUCUUGAACCCAGUGUUAAUGAGAGCAAAAACCUCUGCAUCCUCCACUGAGCUGUCCUUGAGCAUGUCUCAUAAUCAUGCUUCAUUUUAAAAACAGAAAUAAUUCAUUGCAUUUUGAACAAGGAUAACUGUCAGAAAAGAUCCUCUUUGAAUAAAACAGGUAUCUCCCCCAUGGCUGCUUCUGGGUCUGCCCUCUGCAACCACAUGGAAUAGGUCUGAUUCCGGUUCUUCAGGACAACUUUUCAAGAAUUAAAAAAUCACCUCCAAAUGAAUGCAUUUUUACAAAAUGAAAAUAGGUAGAGAUGCUAUUUUAAAAAAAAAAAAACUUUACCUUCUCACCAACCUUAAAAUAAGAAGCAAAAUAAUUUUGGUAUAUCUUUUUUUUUUUUUUUUUGAGACAGAGUCUUGCUCUGUCUCCCAGGCUGGAGUUCCGGGGAGCGAUCUCUGCUCACUGCAACCUCUGCCUCCCGGGUUCAAGCGCUUCACCUGCCUCAAGCCUCCCGAGUAGCUGGGAUUACAGGCACACACCAGCAUGCCCGGCUAAUUUUUGUAUCUCUUGUUUUUCACUAAAUGGAUCCCUGAAUUGGACCCAGAAUGACUUAGCUAUGGAUGUAAGAACUGCUUUUGAGUAGCUGCCUCCAUUAGCCCUGGGGUUCCUACUUCCUGAGUACCAUGACCUCUGGGAUAACUCAGCUUUGUGGAACUGAGGUGCAAUAGGCAGCAUAAUGACCCCCUCCCCAAAGAUAUCUAUGUGCUAACUAACCAAGGAAUGUGGACAGCCCCCUGAAGCUGGAAAAGGCAAGGAAAGGGAUUCUCUUCAAGAGUUUCCAGAAGGAAUGCAGCCCUCUUCACCAAUUUGGUACUUCUGAUCUCCAGAACUCUUAAAUAAUAAAUUUGGCCGCAUGUAGUGGCUCACACCUGUAAUUCCCAGCACUUUGAGAGGCCAAGGAAGGUGGAUUGCUUGAGCUCAGGAUUUGGAGACCAGCCUGCACAAAAUGGUGAAACCCUGUCUCUACAAAAAAUAUGAAAAUUAACCAUGUGUGGUAGUAUGUGCCUGUAGUCUCAGCUACCAGGGAGGCUGAGGUGGGAGGAUCACCUGAGCCCAGGAGGUUGAGGCUGCAGUGAGUUGUUAGUGUCCCACUGCAUUCCAGCCAAGGGGACAGAGUGAGACCCCAUCUCAAUAAUAAUAAUAAUAAAUUUAUGUUGUUUAAGCCUCUAAAUUUGUGGUAAUUUGAUACAGCAAAUUACCACAGAAUAGGAAAGUAAUACAUGGGGGGAAUCAAGCUCAGUCUGUAA
This 2456-nucleotide long non-coding RNA is filed under the name Homo sapiens (human). RNAcentral's name for it is "PREDICTED lncRNA (TCONS_00078805)". The stretch from base 174 to 473 matches the Rfam family "Metazoan signal recognition particle RNA". The record is from RNAcentral. Lineage: Eukaryota; Metazoa; Chordata; Mammalia; Primates; Hominidae.